GGAGAAGGUCCCUGACAGCUUGAGAUGGGCAGGAUCUGAGACAUCAGUCUUGGCUGGAUUCAGAGGGCUUUUUCCCAGCUUGCCUGUGUACUCUGAGCUCAGAGAAUGGCCAACACUCCACUCAGAUGCCCUUUCCAAUUGCACUCCCUCUAGGUUUAAUCCUCAUUAACCCAGCCUUACCCCAUCCAGGAUGGACUUGGUCUCCUCUGCCCUGGCACCUCCAGGACAAGCCUCAGCCCUACCAACUGCCUACAGCUCCCACCCUCUGCUGAGGGUGCAAAGAUGUCGCUGUCGGGUUGGCUCUGAAACAUCAAGAUAAGGAAGGCAAAGAAAUGAUGGGGAACAGGAGGACCACAGGGGCUAGAUCUGCCCCUUCUCUCUCAAACAUCCCACAGCCCAAAUACCUGUCAAAGCCCCUUCCAGUGGGAAUCUUUCCUUCCCCAAUACCACCUUCUAGCAAGUUCAAUAACCUCAUAUUUACAUCCUUGAUAAAACUCUUUUAAAGUCUGUUGACAGUUUCCUUUGGUUCAGACAAAUGGCCCCCAGUUUUUUCUCUUCUCAUUUUACAGUGCUGAACUGUCACUCAGAGGGAAGAUAGCCAAGUCCAUUUCCACCUAUUGGUCAGAUUCUCUCUCAAAAAUAAUUAACUUAGAUCAUUUGUGGAAUGAAUCUGCAUUUUAAAAAAUUAAGAGAUACCAAAUGACAUUUGCAUAGUGCUUUACAAAAUGCUGUAACUUUUAUAUUUUAUUUGGUUUCCCUGAUCAUUCUUGGAAUUCCCCCCAGUUCUACAGAAGAACAGUAAAUGUCAUGAAUCAAGACCUGAGCUC
RNAcentral lists this long non-coding RNA (827 nucleotides) under Homo sapiens (human). RNAcentral describes it as "HSALNT0129208". Lineage: Eukaryota; Metazoa; Chordata; Mammalia; Primates; Hominidae. The record is from RNAcentral.